This is a long non-coding RNA of Hippocampus zosterae (dwarf seahorse), 1643 nucleotides long. RefSeq lists it as uncharacterized. Lineage: Eukaryota; Metazoa; Chordata; Actinopteri; Syngnathiformes; Syngnathidae. The transcript is spliced from 2 exons. The record is from RefSeq and is a predicted model, not a curated record.
CACUGAGAACACAUCAAGUAAUACUGAGUCAGUUCUUGAACUAACAUCAAGGCACUGCCACACGCAAGCAGAGAUGCUCCAGUAAAUCCACUAAAAACAACACGCACUACCUUUGAUACUUUAAAAGGUUGUCCAAAUCAUUCAAUUGUCAGACUCGCAACAGUAAAUAUUCUCCGACUUCUGUAGUCCUCCACGGAAGCGGAUUUGUGUUGAAACAAAACACAAACAGUAGCAAACAUCUGCUUUUACUUUCGAAGACGGUGAUCAAAAUUUUUGUCUCUCUUCUCACAUUACGUAGCAACCAGAAACUGAAUCUUAAUUGAUGUACAUUUUCUGCGCUGUCAAUUUGAAACAAUGUACUGUUUUGGAAUAUAGAGAUAGAAAUGACUAAUUGCGAAAAUUAUCAACGGAUUAUUAUCUGGAGUGGGCGGCUCGGUGGUCAACUGAUUAGUAUGUUCGCCUCAUCGUAAAGAGGUCGUGGGUUUGAUUCGGGCUAAGGCCUUCCUGUGUGGAGUUUGCAUGUUCUUCCCGUGACUGUGUGGCUUUUCUUCGGGUCCUCCGGUUUUCCCCCGCAUUCCAAAAAAUAUGCAUGGCAGGUUUAACAAAACACUCAAAAUUAUCCCAUGGUGUGAUUGUGAGCGUGAAUGCUUGUUUGUCGAUAUGUGUGCCCUGUGAUUGGCUGGUAACCGGUUCAGGGUGUACCCCGCCUACUGCCCGAAAGAUAGGUAGGAUAAGCUCCAACAUGCCCGCGACCCUCGUGAGGAUAAACGAAUAUGAAAAGGAAAAUUAUAGUCAUGAUGAGAGUGUCUCUCCUGCCAAAGAGGAACUCACUUUUAAAUUGCUCGUUAUUCAUGUAUUUCGUUUUAAACGACGUGUUUAUUGACAUAGUCACAAGUCUAAUCAAUUGAAUUACAGGGAGUAAUGUUGCAUUGCAAAUAUUUUGAUGACAUAUAAGAAAAGACAAAUGGAGAAAAAAUGGACUACAAGGCCUAUCAAAGAGUGAGUACAGUACAUUUUUGGCCAUCCUUUACAUACAAUUGAUUUUUUCAUUUCACAUUAACUGUAGUUAUUUUUUGCAAUGCUAGAACUUCAAAGGCCCGCUUAAAGCGUCGCGCUAACAUUUAACGCUUGCUCAGUAAAUAUCUAUGCAAAACUAUUCGAGCAUUUGAACCCGCUCAUGCCAUAAACAAAACGUUCAUGGGUUUACAUGUUUAAUCCUCCGACACGGUGAUUUCAACUACGAGCUUGUCCACUGUCUCCACACAGUUGCGGUUCCAAUCUUUAAGAGACGCUUCAGGGCGGGAGAAAAAAAAAUGUCGGUCUCACAUUCCCAUGGUUGUUUUUAUGGCAAGGUGACACGCAACAGAGCAAGCAAGCGAGGUUCCAACACGUCAAAGCUGCCGUACCUGAGCGUGGUGAACUUCGAAAAUUCCCAACUAUCGGCAAAAAAAAAAAUGUCGAGAGAAAGCGUAAGCCUUCAAGUGCGUCUGCUGCUAGGUCGAUGCAAUCGUGUCACAUAUUUGUGCUCAAAGGGCCACUUCCUGCUUUGGUGUCUCCGUGGUGACGUCACCGACACAGGUGAGCCCCAGCUCGUCUCAGAAAGUGCACAUCGACCACUUUUUUCAAACCGUUUUCACCCUUUU